UUCUGCCCUGGAUCUUCCCUGGCAGGAAGGGCGGACCCUCUGCUGAUCUGUGGGACCGGGACUGCGAUCCCUGCAGGCGAUUCUCCAAUCCUGAUCUGAUAUUUGACUUCAAAGAUGCCCGUUAACACCUUCACUCCGCCCUUAGCUUGAGCUACAGGCUUGGUGACCAGCAGGUGAAGAGCAGGAUGACUGGAAAGAGGUGGUCAGCAAGGGAGAUCACCGGUUGUAGAGGCAGAACAUCUGAAGAUCGGUAUGCAAGAAUGGCAGGUAAUGUUGGCAGUAAGUUGGUUCAUCUUGAUAUAUUUGCUAUUUUUCUUCUCUCUCUCUCAUCCUCUGAACUGUAUUUCUCCUCUACAUGCCUAUAAUGAAAAGCAACUAAGGUUCAUAGAACCCAUGGGUCCAGAUGAAAAUGUCCCUCCAGGUGGAAGAAACACAGGAGCUUUCUGACUCAGAGCCCCGGGGAGCAAAUGGCAGGGGACCCAGAAGGUUGGAAGUUGUUCGAGUGAGAUGUGCACAGGGUCCUAGGAAGAAUGGCCUUGUCAUCAUGCUUGUCACUUACACGUUGUAUCACACACUGAGCACGCGCUCUGAAGGUCUGCUCCGUGAUGUCAUUUACGGAGGUAACUUGUUCUUGGUUUAUGCUGAAUACCUUUGCCAACAAUCUAUUCUUCUCAAUAGUCUCAUUUCCUUGCUGACAGCAGACCUGGAUGGGGUGACUCACCCACCCGGGACUCAGGUGGGCCUUCCCAGCUGGGCCAAGAACCGGCUGCACUGUCACCCUGUGAGUGAGUCUGCUCCCUGUCCCCCAACAGGCGAAGC
Molecule: long non-coding RNA, 819 nt
Filed under: Bos indicus x Bos taurus (hybrid cattle)
Lineage: Eukaryota; Metazoa; Chordata; Mammalia; Artiodactyla; Bovidae
Description: lncRNA (ENSBIXG00005028223.1)
Source: RNAcentral